Molecule: ribosomal RNA, 253 nt
Filed under: uncultured bacterium
Lineage: Bacteria
Description: partial 16S ribosomal RNA
Rfam family: Bacterial small subunit ribosomal RNA
Source: RNAcentral
UACGAAGGGGGCUAGCGUUGUUCGGAAUUACUGGGCGUAAAGCGCACGUAGGCGGAUAUUUAAGUCAGGGGUGAAAUCCCAGAGCUCAACUCUGGAACUGCCUUUGAUACUGGGUAUCUUGAGUAUGGAAGAGGUGAGUGGAAUUCCGAGUGUAGAGGUGAAAUUCGUAGAUAUUCGGAGGAACACCAGUGGCGAAGGCGGCUCACUGGUCCAUUACUGACGCUGAGGUGCGAAAGCGGGGGGAGCAAACAGG